This 235-nucleotide ribosomal RNA is filed under the name uncultured bacterium. RNAcentral's name for it is "partial 16S ribosomal RNA". It matches the Rfam family "Bacterial small subunit ribosomal RNA", at positions 118 to 347 of the family's 1533-position model. The record is from RNAcentral.
UGAGGAACAUGACCUUCGGCGGGGGAUAGCCGGCCCAACGGCCGGGUAAUACCGCGUACGACCACUUUGGGACAUCCCUCGGUGGUGAAAGCAGCAAUGCGCCGAUGGAGUGCCUCGCGGCCUAUCAGCUUGUUGGUGAGGUAAUGGCUCACCAAGGCGACGACGGGUAGCCGGCCUGAGAGGGUGACCGGCCACACUGGGACUGAGACACGGCCCAGACUCCGUACGGGAGCAG